CUAGGCUGAAAAUACUAGACUCUGCUACACGUUUCGACAAGAGUGAAAUUGUGCUAAACGUGAAUGGAAAAAAAGUUUUCUCACAGACAAGAAAUGGAUGCCAGCACACGCUGCCCGACCUGCUGAGUUCCUCCGGCACUGUGUGUGUGAUGUAAUGCUCAGCUAUUUACCACCGUCCUCCAUCAGAAAUCUGAGGUGACUUAAGAACAGGAGCAGCCUCCUCUGCAUCACCAAGGCCAGUCUUCAAUCAAUUCAAUUCACUCCACAUUCUAUUAAGAAACAACUGUCUUCUGGCACUAUCCCAGAUCAACAAUAUCUGGAAUGAAUUCUGUCCCGCGGGGAAACUGGAGGCCAGUUAUUUUGUGACGAGUGACUCACCUUGCAAAUUUGAAAGACGUCCUGCCCUCUGAUCAAAUGCUGCCCAUAUGGCUGUGCCCUAAAGCAGCUGCAAUGACACGAGAUGCUCAAAAAUAUUCAAUGAUCCAGGAACAGCUUCUUCCCCUCCGCCAUCCUGAUUUCUGAAUGGGCAUUGAACCCAUGAACACUACCUCACUACUUCUUUAUUUCUACUUUUACACUACUUAUUUAUUCAGCUCUCGACCAAAAGAGGGUAACUACAUUCGUUCUAUUUCUUGUGUUCCCACAACUAAUGGUCUCACUUCAAGGACUUUAUCGAAUCAAGUUGAAUCAUCAUUCAAAUCAUACAUGGAUACAGUCCAACAAGAUGGCGUUUCCCUGGGGCCAAGGUGCAUAACAUGUAUUCAAAAUAGUGAGAGAGAGAAACUACACACUCAUCCUUAUGCAAGAAGACACAUGAAAAGUCCAAGAUCCUGAGCGACAUGCAAAUUGAUGGUACAGUUCCUGGCAGUUCAGCCUGUCAUUCCACUGGUUAAACACUGGAGGGCAGCACUGAUGGGAGAGGGCAGCUACCAAUCAAGCAUGGACUCCAUGCUACACUGCCCCCAGCGUCACUUCACCUGGAUUGCAGCAGUAGGCACACCCGCUUGAGGCCUCGUCCUCGCUACAACUGAGGCCACACUGCUGCCCCGUCACCAGUCUCACCGCCAGGCAAGGGAAGCAGGCCUGCAGCGUCUUGCAUCAUCAAUGUCCAACAGUGUCUCGCGAUCACAAGAGAAGCAUCCAAGUCACUCACUCACGGUUACGCUACCCGCUGCUUUCACGUACAAACUCCAACGUCUUCCAGUAACAGGCAACAACACGUUCCGCGCCCAGGUCAGCUCUUCUGAACCUUCUCCUGGCCGACUGCUGGCUUCUCCUUCUCCCAGCUGAGUGCUGGCAGCUCUGCACAACAAACAAACCGCUGAUGCGGUAGACCUGCUGUACCCAUUGUUCUUGGCGUCCAGUAUAGACUUACGAUCAUAAGAAACCUUCUUUAAAAAGAAUAGUGCACUUUUGGUUGGCCCCCCAAGAGGCCGCUGCGUUCCGGUGAGCUGCCAUCUUCCCAGAAGAGCCUUGUUAUUUCAUGCUCUCGUUAUUUAUUGCUAUUUAGUUAUAUUUGCAUUUGCACAGUUUGUUGUUCAUUGAUCCUGUUUACAGUUACUGUCCUAUAGAUUUGCUGAGUAUGCCUGCAGGAAAAAGAAUCUCGGGGUUAUAUGUGGUGACAUAUAUGUACUCUAAUAAAUUUUACUUUUAACUUACUGUGAUUAUAUACACUUACUGUAAUUCACUGAUUUUUCCUCUAUACUAUCAUGUAUUGCCUGACACUGCUGCCUCAAAGUUAACAAAUUCCACAACAUAUGAUGGUGAUUCUGACAAAUGGUUAGUGCCUUAAAAUACAUCACUCCUCCCACUGUUACCUCGAUUUAGAACAAGCACAUCGGUAGACCUAAAACUUGUCCCUAGAGCUGCACGGCAUCCCAAUUUGGAAAUACAUUUCCGUUCCAUCUUUGAGGUUAGGUUAAAAUCCAGGAACUCAGCACUGGCUGUUAGUGUGUCUUCACCAUCCGUACUUACAGUGAUUGAGAAGGUGGUUCUCCAAAGGCAGUUACCAAUUUGGCCUUGGUCCCUAUGGCUCUAGUGCAUGAAUGAAUAAAUUGAACAAUGUAAAUGGAUAUCCAACUACCACAACCUGUUUUCUUCUCCACUAUAAGCAGAUAGGUUAGGCCCUCUAGACCAACAGUUCUACUAGUAGUGAGCAAGUGAGAAGUUGUCAGGCCAUAUAUUUGAUCGAUGUUAAAUAGAAUUCACGAUCUGCAGCUUUUUUCCCUCAUGCAACAUUAUAACUAAACUUAUUUCACUGUUGAUGAUUAAAAUCAAAGCAAAAUUAAGCAAGGAAGAUAAAAAUUCUUGCCUAUAUUACUAUUCCCCCACCCCAUUAUUAGUUUACCUUCUAAAAAUUUGUUCCACGAGAAUUCUUCUACCUUCGGUCUUGAUGAUGGGUCGCAGCCUGAAACCUUGACUGCUCAUUCAUUUCCACUGAUGCUGCCUGACCUGCUGAGUUCCUCCAGCAUUUAGGGUGUUUUGCUUUGGGUUUCCAGCAUCUGCAGACUCUCUCACAUUUGUAAUUCUUCUACCGUAAACCAUUUUGGCUUUGCACGAGAGGUCGGCAGUAAUGCUGCGAUCAGUAAUGCUCAGUUCCGUUCUAUUUUUUGUCCUCUGAAUUCAUUUCAACUUUUGAUAACCAGUCUGCAGUAUUAUUAAGCAUAAGGCUGUCGUCUCUUAAAAAAAUCCAGGUGACAUACCACACCUUAUGUGCUGCAAUUUAGAUACGUGAUGACUAAAUUAUAUAAUAAUUUCAAAUGAUUAUUCAUUAAACUCAUGAAUAGAAAAAGCCCAGCUAUGUCUGUGAUAAUGAAGAGAUGGCUUUGCAGCUCGUCCUCUUACUGGCCCUAAUUUUUUGUUUAAACCUGUUCUAGUCUUUUCUCCAUGAAACAGUUACAAAAGGAGAUGAGUUUUACAGCUCUCGUUACACACACAUGCAGUUCAACUCUUUGAGUGAUUAUGCAGGAAGUUUGAAGUUAAUAAUUCAUCUCCUUCUACCUUAGGCCACGAACUUAUCAGUCACCCCAUGCUGUGGACCACUUUCUGGAGGUCCAAGACGCUGACUUCUACAAAGAAGGGAUCCACAUGCUCCACAACCGCUGGACUAAGUGUGUAAAUGUAGGAAAAAUAAAUGUGCUGUUUUCUAAAAUUGUCUCCUUCUACCUGAUGCCACGAACUUAUCACCCGUCAUGUUUUACUUUUUAUUUCUGUUUUUGCCCUACUUAUUUAAUUUAACUAUUUAUGUAGAUGUAUACUUACUGUAAUUUUUCUGUUCAUCUUGUAUUACAUUGUACUGCUGCUGUAAAGUUAACAAAUUUCAUGGCGUGCCAGUGAUAUUAAACCUGAUUCUGAAUAGAG
Hypanus sabinus (Atlantic stingray) is the source of this 3360-nucleotide long non-coding RNA. RefSeq lists it as uncharacterized. The record is from RefSeq and is a predicted model, not a curated record. Lineage: Eukaryota; Metazoa; Chordata; Chondrichthyes; Myliobatiformes; Dasyatidae. The transcript has 2 exons.